Molecule: long non-coding RNA, 1300 nt
Filed under: Salvia miltiorrhiza (redroot sage)
Lineage: Eukaryota; Viridiplantae; Streptophyta; Magnoliopsida; Lamiales; Lamiaceae
Description: long non-coding RNA (SMIL_LNC007000)
Source: RNAcentral
CCUUCUUCCCGGCGAGUCAUCGCCGGAAAUCCAUCUCUCUCUCCCUCGCAUACAUCGGUAACCACCCAAACACUCACCUCUCAAUCUCUCUCGAAUCUCCUCCGGCGAAGAACCGUCGGUCAGUCACCUCCCUCAACGUUUCACUACAGCGCCGUUGUUCCUGCUGCUCCGGCGACUCACGACGAGGCCACCGCCGAUUGCUGCUGUUUGUGGAAGCGCCGCCGACUGCUGCUGUUCGUGGAGUCCGCCGCCGACUGCUGCUGUUCUGAAGUUGGCCGCCGACUGCUGCUGUUCUGGUAUCGCGGGCUGCUGUUGCAGAGCUCCGACAGCCACCACCGUCGUCGGCUGCCGCUGCCUCGCCCAAGGCCGACUUCUGCUACCAAGCACCGAACGCCGCUGCUGUAGGGAGGCCGGCGAACAGUCGGGUGUUCGCCGUUUCCAGUUCUUCUCCGAGUUCCGAAGCCGGUGAGAGCUCCAUCAUCGCGUCGUCUCGUUCGUCUCUCGGCCCAACUGAACAGGUCGUGGAGCAACAAGGCGAGCUUCUCGCCUGAACCCACCGCCAAGCACCGAGUCGCUGCUGCUCGUCGUCUCUCGAUCAGCCUGAACAGGCCGCGUCCCUUCUUCCUAAAGCUAAGUUAUAUCCUUGACUCGUCUUCUUCCUACCAUGUAUGAGUAUCGAUAAGCUUAAGCUUCUAUGAGUAAGAAAGAAUCAGGGUUUAACACUCUGUCAGUGAGCAUGCUAUCGCUAUCCUUGUUCGUUCAUUCAUGUGCUAUGUGUGAGGUCCUCAUGGUUUGUGUUCUAGAGUGCAGUGGCAGUAUACACAUAAGUCUUUCUAUUGCUAUACAUAACAUGGACUGUUUGAUGUAGUGGUAAAACAUGAUUAUGCUCGUUGGUAUGAAUGCGAACUCGAUUGGAUAACUGAGGUAGUAUAAAUACCUUGAAUGAUGCUUGCUUUGGUGUUUGUUGGCUGUUGUGGUUGGAUUAAAUGAAGCAGCAGAUCGAACUGAAAUAAUAAAGUUGUUCUUGCAUUAAUGCAGGUGGAAUAAGGGAAGAAGGUGGAGCAUUGAAGACAAGCUUACCUUGAGAAUACUUGGUAGGAUGAAUUAAAGGCUCACUUCUCCUUGUGCAGUCCUCAAAUGAAGAAUGAAGAGAAUGCAACAAUGUUGGCUGUUUUGAAUGACGAGGUGGUUUGGCUGGGAGCUUGUAUACAUGGGAGGAGGUACAUUCUAGGGUGGCUGAUUGACAUAUUUAGGUGUACUUGGGUAUGGCAGCCUGCUGCAUAGGCGUGGGAAAAGAAAG